This 604-nucleotide long non-coding RNA is filed under the name Brassica rapa (field mustard). Its description in RNAcentral is "long non-coding RNA (BRAP_LNC004073)". Lineage: Eukaryota; Viridiplantae; Streptophyta; Magnoliopsida; Brassicales; Brassicaceae. The record is from RNAcentral.
AUUCUCUAAAAAUGCUCUCUAUUUUUUUUUCUUUUGUUUCUCACGACAGGAGAGAAGAAAGUGGUGACUAAUUAUCUGAUGACUAAGUUGAGUUUCUUCAGAUUACACAAGUCUUGGUGAGAAUAAGACAGCUGGCUUUCUGAUUCAUAACCAUCCACUAAGCAGCUCACUAAUUCCUUCCUUUGAAGAAAUCUCUCUCAGCCACAUGAUUUAAUUUUAAUUAAUCCAGCAAGCAAGCAGCCUGCUUGUGACUAUCAUGUGAUGUUUAAAUAAUUAACUAUGAAUGCAAGCAGCUGAUUGAGAUUGAGAGACACAAGCGAGAAUCAAGAGGUCCUUUUUUUUUUUUUUUUAUAUGAAGGUCAUUACAGGGUAUAAAUUAUUCUUUCCGUUUCACUAAAAAAUAUCAUUAUGAUAUUUUGUAUGCCUAUUAAAAAAUUAUUGAAAUGCAUUUAUGUUCAUUAAUUAUACAUAUUUGAUUGAUAGUAUUUGAGAUAAACAAAAUUAUUUAUACAAUAAAUGCAGUUUACAUUGAAAAAUGCAGUUUACAACUAAUAUCAAACUAAAAAUAAUAUAAAUUAUAAUACAAUUCUUAAAUUGCAUUCCU